This 367-nucleotide ribosomal RNA is filed under the name Pseudopedinella elastica. RNAcentral describes it as "partial Bacterial large subunit ribosomal RNA". It matches the Rfam family "Bacterial large subunit ribosomal RNA", at positions 593 to 961 of the family's 2925-position model. Lineage: Eukaryota; Dictyochophyceae; Pedinellales. The record is from RNAcentral.
GUGACUGCGUACCUUUUGUAUAAUGGGUCAGCGACUUAUAUUUAGUAGCAAGGUUAAGCGAAUAGCGGAGCCGUAGCGAAAGCGAGUGUUAACUGCGCGUUUAGUUGCUAGGUAUAGACCCGAAACCCGGUGAUCUAGCCAUGGGCAGGUUGAAGGUUGAGUAACAUCAACUGGAGGACCGAACCCACUGACGUUGAAAAGUCAGGGGAUGACUUGUGGCUGGGGGUGAAAGGCCAAUCAAACCGGGAGAUAGCUGGUUCUCCCCGAAAUCUAUUUAGGUAGAGCCUCGGACGAAUUCCAUUGGGGGUAGAGCACUGUUAAGGCUAGGGGGUCAUCCCGACUUACCAACCCUUUGCAAACUCCGAAU